UUAGAAAUGAUGGUUAACGAGGGAAUAUCAGCUGGGGGUGUUCGAGUGUAGGACAUAUAAACUUGGAAAACUUCGAUGGGAGCGAUAUUGGCGGAUGGUAAGGAGGCAUGAUGGAACGGAAGUAGCAAGAUGAUUACUAGAUCACUCAAUUAAGAUUGGACGACUUAUAUUCGUCGCUUUAUUGCCUAUAAUUUUUUUUAAAAAAAACAGACAACCAUAGAAAAUAUAGCACCUCCCUUGGAUCUCCGGAAUGAGGAUAAUAC
RNAcentral lists this long non-coding RNA (263 nucleotides) under Setaria viridis. RNAcentral describes it as "long non-coding RNA (SVIR_LNC002717)". Lineage: Eukaryota; Viridiplantae; Streptophyta; Magnoliopsida; Poales; Poaceae. The record is from RNAcentral.